AUCAGGUGGGACUACCCGCUGAACUUAAGCA
Molecule: ribosomal RNA, 31 nt
Filed under: Clavulina cf. cinerea BIO 10296
Lineage: Eukaryota; Fungi; Basidiomycota; Agaricomycetes; Cantharellales; Hydnaceae
Description: partial 25S ribosomal RNA
Source: RNAcentral